AUCCAAGUGCCUCCUCUUCUUGUCGGCCCAUUUCUUCAUCUUCUUGGAGGCCUUGUCAAGGUAUGCACGAGCUAGGUCCGUUUGCUCGUGCCAAGUCUUCGCCGUCUUGAACGCCGCUGGACUCUUCCCCGUAUAUUUGUUGACAAGUCCAUGCGGUGUUAAGGGUUGUUGUCCAGUUGCAAGCUCGAAUGGGCUCUUGCUAGUAGCCUCACUCCGUUGCAAAUUAUAAGAGAAUUGGGCAACGUCAAGCAGCU
RNAcentral lists this long non-coding RNA (254 nucleotides) under Nicotiana benthamiana. Its description in RNAcentral is "long non-coding RNA (NBEN_LNC012186)". Lineage: Eukaryota; Viridiplantae; Streptophyta; Magnoliopsida; Solanales; Solanaceae. The record is from RNAcentral.